AAUAUUGCGCAAUGGACGGAAGGCUGACGCAGCGACGCCGCGUGAUCGAUGAAGGUCUUCGGAUCGUAAAUCAAUUUCCUUGGGGAAGAAGGGCCUCGGCCUCGACGGUACCCAAAUAGAAAGCACCGCCUAAUUUGGUGCUAGCAGCCGCGGUAAUACGUAGGGGGCGAGCGUUGUCCGGAAUUACUGGGCGUAAAGCGAGCGUAAGUGGUUCAGUAAGAUGGGUGUGACAUCCCCGGGCUUAACCUGGGAACUGCUUUCAUAACUGCUGAGCUAGAGUACGGUAGAGGGUAGUGGAAUUUCCUGUGUAGCGGUGAAAUGCGUAGAUAUAGGAAGGAACACCAGUGGCGAAGGCGACCACCUGGGCUAAUACUGACACUGAGGUGCGAAAGCGUGGGGAGCAAAC
RNAcentral lists this ribosomal RNA (406 nucleotides) under uncultured bacterium. RNAcentral's name for it is "partial 16S ribosomal RNA". It matches the Rfam family "Bacterial small subunit ribosomal RNA", at positions 360 to 773 of the family's 1533-position model. The record is from RNAcentral.